AGUGAACGCUGGCGGUAGGCCUAACACAUGCAAGUCGAACGGCAGCACAGUGAGAGCUUGCUCUUACGGGUGGCGAGUGGCGGACGGGUGAGGAAUACAUCGGAAUCUACUUUUUCGUGGGGGAUAACGUAGGGAAACUUACGCUAAUACCGCAUACGACCUACGGGUGAAAGCAGGGGAUCUUCGGACCUUGCGCGAUUGAAUGAGCCGAUGUCGGAUUAGCUAGUUGGCGGGGUAAAGGCCCACCAAGUCGACGAUCCGUAGCUGGUCUGAGAGGAUGAUCAGCCACACUGGAACUGAGACACGGUCCAGACUCCUACGGGAGGCAGCAGUGGGGAAUAUUGGACAAUGGGCGCAAGCCUGAUCCAGCCAUACCGCGUGGGUGAAGAAGGCCUUCGGGUUGUAAAGCCCUUUUGUUGGGAAAGAAAAGCAGCAGGUUAAUACCCCGCUGUUCUGACGGUACCCAAAGAAUAAGCACCGGCUAACUUCGUG
RNAcentral lists this ribosomal RNA (492 nucleotides) under uncultured bacterium. RNAcentral describes it as "partial 16S ribosomal RNA". It matches the Rfam family "Bacterial small subunit ribosomal RNA", at positions 29 to 507 of the family's 1533-position model. The record is from RNAcentral.